This is a long non-coding RNA of Polyodon spathula (Mississippi paddlefish), 530 nucleotides long. RefSeq lists it as uncharacterized. NCBI's taxonomy places the organism in Eukaryota, Metazoa, Chordata, Actinopteri, Acipenseriformes, Polyodontidae. The record is from RefSeq and is a predicted model, not a curated record. The transcript is spliced from 3 exons.
ACACACAGUAUGUAUUAUAAUUUUCUGGCUUUUAACCAAACCAUUAGUCACUGAACACCUUCGGGAAGGAAGCUGGCAUUUCGACAGCAGCAGAAGGUGAAACAAGACAGCAUAAACAGCGAGGUGUAACGGUUAACGAACAGGAAAAACACAGCAAAAAUACCCAAUGAAAAUAGAGUUUACACUUUAAAUUGUGCUAACUUUUUUUUUUUUGUUUAGUUUUUUUUUUUUUUUUUGAUGGGUGUUUUUUUUUUUUCCAGCGGUUUGUCUUUGCUUUCUAGCUGGUGGUGACGUUUCCAUGGUGCUGCUGAUGAGAUGCUCACCAGCUUGAUGCAACGGAGAGAGCAGAACACCAGAAAUAUGGCCCACUGCUUCUGAAAUCAAUACUGCAUGAAUGCCUGUGAGGAAACAUUAUCAGGGAACAAAAUGUAACCGGCCUGCUACUGUGCUGUACAUUGGAGCACCAACCAGUAAGUCGGACAGCCCAUCUGAAUUGAGGUCAACAGCACAGAUAGAAGAACCAAAAUAGG